UGGGGAAUAUUGCGCAAUGGGGGGAACCCUGACGCAGCCAUGCCGCGUGAAUGAAGAAGGCCUUCGGGUUGUAAAGUUCUUUCGGUAUUGAGGAAGGUUGAUGUGUUAAUAGUACAUCAAAUUGACGUUAAAUACAGAAGAAGCACCGGCUAACUCCGUGCCAGCAGCCGCGGUAAUACGGAAGGUGCGAGCGUUAAUCGGAAUAACUGGGCGUAAAGGGCACGCAGGCGGUUAUUUAAGUGAGGUGUGAAAGCCCCGGGCUUAACCUGGGAAUAGCAUUUCAGACUGGGUAACUAGAGUACUUUAGGGAGGGGUAGAAUUCCACGUGUAGCGGUGAAAUGCGUAGAGAUGUGGAGGAAUACCGAAGGCGAAGGCAGCCCCUUGGGAAUGUACUGACGCUCAUGUGCGAAAGCGUGGGGAGCAAACAGGAUUAGAUACCCUGGUAGUCCACGCUGUAAACGCUGUCGAUUUGGGGGUUGGGGUUUAACUCUGGCGCCCGUAGCUAACGUGAUAAAUCGACCGCCUGGGGAGUACGGCCGCAAGGUUA
This 547-nucleotide ribosomal RNA is filed under the name uncultured bacterium. RNAcentral's name for it is "bacterial SSU rRNA". It matches the Rfam family "Bacterial small subunit ribosomal RNA", at positions 355 to 896 of the family's 1533-position model. The record is from RNAcentral.